UUUUAUGACGCUGGCGGCAGGCUUAACACAUGCAAGUCGAGCGGAAACGAUGGUAGCUUGCUACCAGGCGUCGAGCGGCGGACGGGUGAGUAAUACUUAGGAAUCUACCUAGUAGUGGGGGAUAGCACGGGGAAACUCGUAUUAAUACCGCAUACGACCUACGGGAGAAAGGGGGCAGUUUACUGCUCUCGCUAUUAGAUGAGCCUAAGUCGGAUUAGCUAGAUGGUGGGGUAAAGGCCUACCAUGGCGACGAUCUGUAGCUGGUCUGAGAGGAUGAUCAGCCACACCGGGACUGAGACACGGCCCGGACUCCUACGGGAGGCAAGCAAGUGGGGAAUAUUGGACAAUGGGGGAAACCCUGAUCCAGCCAUGCCGCGUGUGUGAAGAAGGCUUUUGGGUUGUAAAGCACUUUAACCAGUGAAAAAAACUCCGUGGUUAAUACCCCCGGACGAUACCUUUACUUGCAAAAAAGCCCCCGGUUAAUUUUUGGCCAGCAGCCCGGGUAAUCAAAGGGGGCAAGCCUUAAUUGGAAAUUCC
RNAcentral lists this ribosomal RNA (537 nucleotides) under uncultured Antarctic soil bacterium. Its description in RNAcentral is "partial 16S ribosomal RNA". It matches the Rfam family "Bacterial small subunit ribosomal RNA", at positions 35 to 539 of the family's 1533-position model. The record is from RNAcentral.